GACGAACGCUGGCGGCGUGCUUAACACAUGCAAGUCGAGCGGAGCGGCGAACGGGUGAGUAACGCGUGAGUAACUGCCCCCCUCUCUGGGAUAACAGUUGGAAACGGCUGCUAAUACCGGAUAAAGGGGGAUGGCUCGCGGCCUAUCAGCUUGUUGGUGGGGUGAUGGCCUACCAAGGCGGUGACGGGUAGCCGGCCUGAGAGGGUGACCGGCCACAUUGGGCUGAGAUACGGCCCAGACUCCUACGGGAGGCAGCAGUGGGGGAUAUUGCACAAUGGGCGAAAGCCUGAUGCAGCGACGCCGCGUGGGGGAUGAAGGCUUUCGGGUUGUAAACCUCUUUCGCUAUCGAAAGGGUAGGUGGAGAAGAAGCGCCGGCUAACUACGUGCCAGCAGCCGCGGUAAUUC
RNAcentral lists this ribosomal RNA (405 nucleotides) under uncultured bacterium. RNAcentral describes it as "partial 16S ribosomal RNA". It matches the Rfam family "Bacterial small subunit ribosomal RNA", at positions 28 to 526 of the family's 1533-position model. The record is from RNAcentral.